UGGAGGAAACUUCGAGACUGGAAGAGGAAAGUAACCGCCUCUUCUUGAAGUAUUUUGCUUCAAGAAAAAGGAAACCGUCUGUUGCCGCUCUCGCUUUCCCGCGCUUCCAGCCCUCUACCUCCGCGAUCGCUCGCUCUCCCGCCAGCGCUCUCCACCACCAUCGCUGCUCGCUCUCCAGCCGGAGGCCUCCAUCACCAAGAGAACGAUGGAAGGGGGGAAGACGAAGCUGAGCCGCAGGCCGUCGAUCAACUCGUUGGACGACGGAUGCCUUAUGCACAUCUUCAGUUUCUCGUUUCAGUCUUUGUGGAUGUUGGGUUACUCGUGAGGGCGAUAGCGGCACAUAGGGAGGCAUAUACGAAUCAUGUGGCCCUAGACAGCUUGCGGGAUCAUUCUCUCCAUCUACCUCACCGCCCGUUGGAGUGGCAGAUUGAUCACCGUGCCUUUCACCUCCCUACUGUUUGGACCUCAUAUCUGAUCAACGUUGCUUUCCUUCCUACCGUUGUUCUAUCUAACGCUUUCUAGGGUUUCAAUACUUUGACCUAAUCAGUUUUCUAGGUAAGUAAUCUCUCUCGAUUGCUUUUUCUUCUCUCCUUGCUUUAUAGGGUUUCCUUCACUAAAAAUAUAAAAACAUGUCAAUCUCUGAGUCUCUCUCUGCGUUUUGUGUAUUUUGACACGGAGAACGAUGGAAGGGGGAAGACGAAGCUGAGCUGCCGGCCGUCGAUCAUCAACUCAUUGGACGACGGGCACCUUAUGCACAUCUUCAGUUUCUUUCCUCCACUCUCUGUUACAUGCUGCUGCACCAAUAUUAGCAGGCUUGGAGAGACCAAUUGCAGUUGCUUAAGUAAAUGCUGACAAAUGCAGGCAUCUUGCUUCAAAAUUUGAUGGCAAUGGGUUUCCAACUCUCAAGUUUUUUAUUCAUGGUGUGCCAGUGGAUUAUACUGGUCCAAGCCGGUCAGAAUUGCGUGUUGAGGGCUGCUAGUUGACCUCCUUAUUCAGAGAACGAUGGAAGGGGGGAAGACGAAGCUGAGCCGCAGGCCGUCGAUCAACUCGUUGGACGACGGAUGCCUUAUGCACAUCUUCAGUUUCUCGUUUCAGUCUUUGUGGAUGUUGGGUUACUCGUGAGGGCGAUAGCGGCACAUAGGGAGGCAUAUACGAAUCAUGUGGCCCUAGACAGCUUGCGGGAUCAUUCUCUCCAUCUACCUCACCGCCCGUUGGAGUGGCAGAUUGAUCACCGUGCCUUUCACCUCCCUACUGUUUGGACCUCAUAUCUGAUCAACGUUGCUUUCCUUCCUACCGUUGUUCUAUCUAACGCUUUCUAGGGUUUCAAUACUUUGACCUAAUCAGUUUUCUAGAACGAUGGAAGGGGGAAGACGAAGCUGAGCUGCCGGCCGUCGAUCAUCAACUCAUUGGACGACGGGCACCUUAUGCACAUCUUCAGUUUCUUUCCUCCACUCUCUGUUACAUGCUGCUGCACCAAUAUUAGCAGGCUUGGAGAGACCAAUUGCAGUUGCUUAAGUAAAUGCUGACAAAUGCAGGCAUCUUGCUUCAAAAUUUGAUGGCAAUGGGUUUCCAACUCUCAAGUUUUUUAUUCAUGGUGUGCCAGUGGAUUAUACUGGUCCAAGCCGGUCAGAAUUGCGUGUUGAGGGCUGCUAGUUGACCUCCUUAUUCAGAAAAUCCUUUAUUGCUCCAAGAAUUUUUGACCACUGAGAAGAAACGAAGAUACCGUUCAAAGCUGUUGGUCUGACAUCCACUAGUUGGGGGGUCCAAGAUCCUCGUCCCAAAAUGUACCAAAGCGUCGUUUAACUCAAGAUGAUAACGUUGAAGGGUAUAGACUCAUACGUUGCUCUGAGGGGUAUGUUUGAUUACCAAUUAUCUUAAGGUCUCAAAUUUUUAGGUGGCAAAAGAUUGAUGGUAGUGCAUCAAGCUAAAGAUCUUAGGUUAAACUUGAUGAUUUUAUAUUGGCAAACCUGAUAUGGGAUGGUGGAAUUUGAACUUGAACUUUAUAAUAAGGUAAUUGAGAUCAGCCGACCGCUGGAUAUUACCUGUGCUUUCUACAACACAUGACUAUUAAUGAGGAAGUGCCCGUGUACUAUGAAAAAGUGAGUUGAGGAUAGGCUUGGCAGACGGCUAAGUUGAUUGCUUUAAAGUGUGCAU
Molecule: long non-coding RNA, 2154 nt
Organism: Nymphaea colorata (pocket water lily)
Lineage: Eukaryota; Viridiplantae; Streptophyta; Magnoliopsida; Nymphaeales; Nymphaeaceae
Exons: 11
Source: RefSeq, a predicted model, not a curated record